AGUGAACGCUGGCGGCGUGCCUAAUACAUGCAAGUCGAACGGAGAUUAAAUAGCUUGCUAUUUAAUCUUAGUGGCGCACGGGUGAGUAAUAUAUAGUUAAUCUGCCCCAUAGUGGAGGACAACAGUUAGAAAUGACUGCUAAUACUCCAUACUCCUUCUUAUCAUAAGUUAAGUCGGGAAAGUUUUUCGCUAUGGGAUGAGACUAUAUCGUAUCAGCUAGUUGGUGAGGUAAUGGCUCACCAAGGCUAUGACGCGUAACUGGUCUGAGAGGAUGAUCAGUCACAUUGGAACUGAGACACGGUCCAAACUCCUACGGGAGGCAGCAGUAGGGAAUAUUGCGCAAUGGGGGAAACCCUGACGCAGCAACGCCGCGUGGAGGAUGACACUUUUCGGAGCGUAAACUCCUUUUGUUAGGGAAGAAUAAUGACGGUACCUAACGAAUAAGCACCGGCUAACUCCGUGCCAGCAGCCGCGGUAAUACGGAGGGUGCAAGCGUUACUCGGAAUCACUGGGCGUAAAGGACGCGUAGGCGGAUUAUCAAGUCUCUUGUGAAAUCUUGUGGCUUAACCACUAAACUGCUUGGGAAACUGAUAAUCUAGAGUAAGGGAGAGGCAGAUGGAAUUCUUGGUGUAGGGGUAAAAUCCGUAGAGAUCAAGAAGAAUACUUAUUGCGAAGGCGAUCUGCUAGAACUUAACUGACGCUAAUGCGUGAAAGCGUGGGGAGCAAACAGG
RNAcentral lists this ribosomal RNA (731 nucleotides) under uncultured Campylobacter sp. RNAcentral describes it as "bacterial SSU rRNA". It matches the Rfam family "Bacterial small subunit ribosomal RNA", at positions 28 to 776 of the family's 1533-position model. The record is from RNAcentral. Lineage: Bacteria; Pseudomonadati; Campylobacterota; Epsilonproteobacteria; Campylobacterales; Campylobacteraceae.